This 271-nucleotide ribosomal RNA is filed under the name uncultured bacterium. RNAcentral describes it as "partial 16S ribosomal RNA". It matches the Rfam family "Bacterial small subunit ribosomal RNA", at positions 82 to 354 of the family's 1533-position model. The record is from RNAcentral.
CUUCCGAUGGCGACCGGCGCACGGGUGAGUAACACGUAUCCAACCUGCCGAUAACUCGGGGAUAGCCUUUCGAAAGAAAGAUUAAUAUCCGAUAGGAUAUCAAGGUCGCAUGAUCUUGAUAUUAAAGAAUUUCGGUUAUCGAUGGGGAUGCGUUCCAUUAGUUAGUUGGCGGGGUAACGGCCCACCAAGACGACGAUGGAUAGGGGUUCUGAGAGGAAGGUCCCCCACAUUGGAACUGAGACACGGUCCAAACUCCUACGGAAGGCAGCAG